GUUGAAGGUAAGUGUGUUGCCCAGGCCUUGGCAAUUCCAACACAUAAUCUUCAUAGUGAAACACAGCAACACAAUAUUCCAACAAUUACCGCAGAAGAGUUUGCCUAUUAGAGUCAUGCAGACUCACUUAGGACUUUGAUCAAAAACCUGGUGUGCAUUCAAAAUAAGAUAGCUCCCAUAAAAGAGAUCCACAAUAACACCCAAAAUAAUAAAGCUUCACAACAAAUGCCCCCAAGAGAGAUACAAACAGAUCAAAGAAUGCCAAACCAAAAUUGAAAAGAAAAUCCUAUUUGAGAAUCUGAAAUCGAGAUGUGAGAUGCAAAUAGAGAAAAAGGAAAGUCUAAUUUGCACUUGAUACACUUGAAGAUGAGAAGUUCACCCUCUCAGUGAGAAUGAUGCCCCGUCCCAUUGACGAGAGUUCCUGAUGUAAUGACAACACUUGAAGCUGGUCCUCUCUUAAGUAACAGCCUCAAUCGUCGAUGAUUUUAAGGCUACUUGCUGACCUGGAAAUCCCAUUACCAUUCUCAAACUUAUGUAGCUCAGAUUCAAUGGUUUCAGCGAUUUUGGUUCCUUCAGCAGCUGCCUCAGGCAGAUCAACAUGGAAAGACCCCUGCUUAAUUGGUUUGUCAGGUUCAUUGAUCAAGGACUGCUGCUUGAUGUAGUUGUA
RNAcentral lists this unclassified non-coding RNA (667 nucleotides) under Hevea brasiliensis (rubber tree). The record is from RNAcentral. Lineage: Eukaryota; Viridiplantae; Streptophyta; Magnoliopsida; Malpighiales; Euphorbiaceae.